This 494-nucleotide ribosomal RNA is filed under the name uncultured bacterium. RNAcentral's name for it is "partial 16S ribosomal RNA". It matches the Rfam family "Bacterial small subunit ribosomal RNA", at positions 28 to 507 of the family's 1533-position model. The record is from RNAcentral.
GACGAACGCUGGCGGCGUGCUUAACACAUGCAAGUCGAACGGAAAGGCCUGCUUUCCCUUGUGGAUUGCGGGUACUCGAGUGGCGAACGGGUGAGUAACACGUGAGUGAUCUGCCCCCAACUUGGGUAUAAGCCUGGGAAACUGGGUCUAAUUCCCGAUAGGACUGCAGGGUGGUGCCUGUGGUGGAAAACGAUUUUCUAGUGGUUGGGGAUGAGCUCGCGGCCUAUCAGCUUGUUGGUGGGGUAAUGGCCUACCAAGGCGGCGACGGGUAGCCGGCCUGAGAGGGUGGACGGCCACAUUGGGACUGAGAUACGGCCCAGACUCCUACGGGAGGCAGCAGUGGGGAAUAUUGCACAAUGGGCGGAAGCCUGAUGCAGCGACGCCGCGUGGGGGAUGACGGCCUUCGGGUUGUAAACUCCUUUCGACCGCGAGGAAGCCACCUGGUUGGAAGGGUGGUGACGGCAGUGGUAGAAGAAGCACCGGCUAACUACGUG